Molecule: ribosomal RNA, 253 nt
Filed under: uncultured bacterium
Lineage: Bacteria
Description: partial 16S ribosomal RNA
Rfam family: Bacterial small subunit ribosomal RNA
Source: RNAcentral
UACGUAGGUGACAAGCGUUAUCCGGAAUUACUGGGCGUAAAGCGCACGCAGGUGGGUACUUAAGUCUGACGUGAAAGCUCCUGGCUUAACUGGGAGAGGUCGUUGGAAACUGAGUGGCUUGAGGCGAUGAGAGGGGUAUGGAAUUCCCGGUGUAGUGGUGGAAUGCGUAGAGAUCGGGAGGAACACCAGUGGCGAAAGCGAUGCCCUAGCGUGAGCCUGACGCUUAUGCGCGAAAGCGUGGGGAGCGAAGGGG